GCGCGGGGAAUGCCCCGAGCGGCGGCGCGGGGAGCGGGGGCUGCCGCAGUGCUUUUCUGGGCCGCCCGCCCCGCUGCGGGGGAGCCCGGCCGCGCCGAGCCGAGUGGGGCGCUGCUGCGGCUCGCCGAUCCUCCAGCGGCCCUGCGCGGCCGCCUCCUUCCGCGGGAGGAAGUGGGUCUCAGCGGCAGAGGCUCCCAGGAAGCCGCCCCGGGGCCCUGCGUGCUGCUGGCCGUCCGAGGGGUCUCCCCGAGCCGUUUCGAGUGGGUAGAAAAGGGGCGUUGGCGCUCUUCAUUUUACCGGUUCCUUGGCAGCGUUUCCUCUUGGGUUUGCGGGGCGAUUUAGCUCAUCUCUGAGGCAUCCCCCUGCUCCCCCUUCCUACGGCUGGCACAUUAGUUAGUAACCGAAGUUCAGGGAAGCCGGGUGUCUCAUUAGAUCAAUUUCUAAUUCAUGUUUCCCGUAUUUAUUCUUGUGAUGUUUUCUUUCCUUUGUCUCCUGCAUUCAACGGUGCCUGUACCAUCCCCCAUGUCCUCCUUGUGAUCGCUCUGACAGCGCCAACCACGCUGCCUUCCUGCGCUUAGAAUCUUUUUUCCCCUCAAAGUGAUCCAGUCUGUGUUUCCUCACUUCUCAGCCCUUUCCAGCCCUAAAUUUCUUAGGCUUUGUGUGUAACUGAACGAGACCUAGAAGGUGAAAGCUAGCUUGGUGAAAGCCAGCUGUUCUGUACUGUUUUUUCACAUUUCCAUCACACAAAGAACAAGAUCUGUCAGGAGGGCCAAAUCUGAGCUGAUUUUAGUGACAUGAUUUUGAACUUAAAGUACCAGGGCAUAGGUCGCUUGGGCCAGAAUUUGGAAAAUGGGUUGCUUUUUUUCCCUUUGGCUAUCUGCUUAUCCUUGCUGCCUAGCUGCUCUCUUGCUUUUGUCAGUUCAAAUUCGGUGUCACAGGGCCUUUUCCCAUCUUCAUGCAGCCCAAGGUCUGCAUGUGGGUCUCAGCUUCCCCACACUCCUUGUGGAUGCUGAGUGAGGCCAAAACUGCUUCAUUCUGCAGGCACGUCUGUACUUUGCUGUGUCUAGGUGGAGACUAGAGAACAUUUUCAUUUGCAGCAGUAAGCCCCUGAUCUUAAGAAACUCUAUGCAGCUUAUUCAAGCCAGGCCUUCUCCACAGUAGGGCCAAGCGGGAGCUGCCUUCACAGGAGCAGUGCCAGCUGAAAAUUCCCCUGCUUCCAGCUCUGUUGACCCUUCCAACAGCACAAGCAAACCAGAACACAGACAAGUAUGUUUCCCAGUAAACAGAAAUCAAUUGCUCUUGCCUAAAAAAGGAGUGCAAACAUGAAACCACUUCUUAAAUGCAGAGAAAUUCACUUUGCUUGUGCUGAUGGAAAUUUCUAGUGAAAUCGGUUUACGAUAAAAAGAAGUAAAUAUGACUCAGAAACAAACGUUCUGUUUAUACAGACUAAACAUGAUUACCGUGGUAUUUUUGCAUGUUUUCAAGAUGUAGGAUAGCUACCUUACAUUUGCAAAACUUGUGGGAUUUUUAAUAACACAGAGAAAGCAGACACUCAAGCUUUGAACUUUCUGGUAAUGCAAAGAUACCCCUUACAGAUCUCCUUUAAAGCUCAGGACCUACCAGUUCCUGCUAGACCUACCAGUUCUCCUGAUCUUUGAAUGCUAAGUAGAUGAUGUAUGUUUUGUUUUAUCUCAUUCAAUUUGAAGGCUAUUUUGGGUAUGUAGUAACAUUAGAAAUGAUAGUGUGCAAGUUUAUUAUGUGCAUGGUUUGUAAAACAAGUUUCUGAGACAGCACAGUAAGGAGUGCAGCAUGUCCAUUUAUUGCAGCACAUCCAAGUAAAUGCUGUUCCGAAGUACAGAGAGAACGUGGGUUAGAAGUUUAUGAAGCCGUGUUUUUAUAUAUUAAAAAUAUCAGUAAAAUAUGUUCAUUUUACUUGAUUCGUAAGUCUGCUGUUGAUACUUCUGUUAUUACAGGAAAAGAAAUUAUUACAAAUAAAGGAAGAAACUAAAAAAAAAUGAGCAGUUGAGUCACUCAAGAAAUAAGGGGGAUCAAGACUGAUCACAGUGUAAUUAGAGUAUUUUAGGGUUUUCCACUUGUAAUGGGGAGAAUAAUGAAUUUUUAAGAGGGAAGAACACUUGAUAUCCAUUUGGCCUUUGUAUCUGUCACUACCUCAUGACCUCAAAUGAAGAUUUUCACAUCUGGGCAAAAAACAGUGCUGAAGGAAGACAGUGACAGGCUUAAGUUUGAAAUGUAGGCACUGGUUUUGAUUGAUUUAUCCCAUGAGUCUAGUUUUAUAACUAUAGCUAUUGAUUUGUUUUAUUAUUUAGAGGAUUAUGUAGCAAUCAAUCAUAUUUCCAUCUAGCUAACCAUGAUUAUUAAUAUUUUAAACUAGUUUUAAGAUGGAUUGGCUGGUGAGCGUAAUAGGUCUUCUCUCUAACCCAGCGAGAAUAGAAUACACCCAGGUCACAUGGAAUGAAUUAUUGCCACUGGACAAUUUGAUGAAAUCUACAUCAGCCAUUAGAAUCUAAAUCCAUCAGUAGGAAUACAGUGCUGUCAGGGGACUGAGAUUUCCUGCUUUGAAAAUGAACAUUUGACUUUACCUCUACAUUUCUUCAAUGAAAGUAUAUAGUUAUUCUGUGACAGUAAAAGUAUGGGAGCUAAAUCAGUGGAGUUCAUAUAACGGUAGAUGGAAACCCUACAGAAACAUGCAUUUUUAACACAAUGUACAUGGAAAGCAGUUACUUCCCUGCCAAGAGGCAAGCUCAAGAUUCUUUGUCACUGCAUCAGGAGUCAGCGACCUCGCAAUCAGCGGCAGUGUGGGAAAGCAUUGUGCUAAACUACAAGGGAUGUGUUCGUUUGCAGGGGAAGGACUGAAAGCCUUGGCAGGUUAUUAAAAGAGGAAGUGGUUUCCAAAUACAAUAUUCUGUUUUGAAAUGCAAUUGUUUUUUCUAUUGGAUGCCAAAAAAUUCUGAAGAAUGCAAUAUCCUCUAACUAAUUGUAUCUGUGCUCUGAGAAAAGAAACAGGGCUAUUGUUCUCCUCACAGCAUGAGCUAUUUAUAUGUUAGUCUGUGUAGCACUCCUUUCUGUAAUGAUUGUCUUCCACCUACGCAAAACUCCAAUCCAUUUAAAAUAAUCAAAUUAAGACAGUUUCUUGCUUUCUUACAUCAAGCUGCUAUUCAUAUAAAGUGUUUUCUAGGUUACUUGGAUUUAGUACAAGGCCUCUAGGCUAAAUAUAAUACAAUUCUAUUACCUCACUGGACCAAACCCCUUCCUUUCUGAUGAAUGUAAGCAGGAAGCAGUAACACGAAGGAGGUACCCCUUGAAAGAAGCAAAAAGGGGUAUACUUCUGCUAAGAAGAGCUGUAGCCAUUUCUACCAUGAUUUCUCUAACUGGGAGCUGGUCAUUGUUUUAGUUGCACUUUGCUUUAGCUGUGUAUAUUUCCACAUAGGCACAUUGUGGAAAGUUACUAUUUGUUCUUGUAAACCUCGUUUUUGGCAAGCAGGAAAGAGUUAUCAAAGUGAAAAUAGUAGGGGAUUAUCUACAUUAUCUACAUUUGAGAUUUUAAUUUGCAUAGCUAUACAGGUGUUUGGAGACUGAUUAAGUGCUGCAGAAAUUACCAGAAGACUAAGCACAUUACCUGUGCUUAUUUCCUAUCACAACAUUAUCAUUUUUUAGCAUAUAAAUAUUUGUAAUGUAUGACAUGAUAUAUACAUAUGACAUAUUGUCACUGUUUUCUUCCUCUAUAUUGCUAAACCUUUUAAUUCCUAUAUGUAACAUCACAAUAUCCUGUCACAAUGCUACUUAAAUACUGUUUCUCAUUUCCUCACACCUUGCAUCUCUAAAUUUUGAAGAAUAUUUAUCAGUCAUGUAGAUAAUGAUUUCAGUAUCUUUACAAUAUCAGAAUUGAUGCUUUUAUUUAUACCUGGCAUUUGUGGUAUUUGUACAUACAAAGUAUCUACCAGUUGUGUAUAUUGUUUUGAUCUGGAGCACUGUUUAAGUGGAAAAUCUAGUUUCAUUGCUUUUUUUUUUCUUGACUGUUUUCUUCUUCCAGAUGGAGAUUCCUCCAGGUAAUGUAAAUGAAGUCUUUCCACUGGCUUCAGCAAGAGUCAGUUUACUCCUUGUAGAAGGAAGUUAAUAGCAUGGAGACAGCCCCUUUUUGUACAGUUCUGCCUGGGUUUGCGAACAAAUACUAGACACUCCUUUAUUUCUCUACUACUGCUCUGAAAGACAGGAAGGACAUCCUGCUUUUCAAAACAAAAGAUACUAAGCCUACUUCAACUAGGUCAAUUACCAUACUCAGAUAGAAAAUGGUGAGGUAUUUUCUGUAAAUUGUCUAAAAAAUGAGGCUUGUGCCUUGGACAAUACAUCACUAUAAAACUCUAGCCUAGUGAAAUAUUUUGGUUUGUUUUUUUAUAUUUUGUGUUGGAGACUAAAGGUAGUGAGCAAUGAAGGUCUGCAGAUAAUGAGAACUGGUCACAUGUAUGUGCACACCUCUGCUGCUUGUGCCUUUCAGGUACCAUUCUGGGAUACUAUUCUCUAUGAAACAGAAAUCUGAAAUGGCAGGGGAAGAGGCUCCUAUUCUUCUCUAUUUCUUUUAUGCAGGUUCAGUGUCUCAGACAGAAUAGCUUCUUCAUGGCAAGUAAAUUGCUUCACAGAAAGUCAUUAUUCACUGAAUUGAUUAGAAAUGCCAUCAGUGAGUCCCAGAACCUUUGUAUCAUUGCCAAUUCAAACUACUUAGUGGAUUUGAAAUUAAAGCACAAAAUACACAGAGACUCCUGCAGUUACAAGACUGUAGGUGUCCAACAUCUUGGUUUUUCCUUAUUGUAAUGGUUGCUCUCUCCAGAGUGUUUCGGGACUUAAAUGAAAUUACUUUCAGUCAUGACAGCUGGUUACUUUCCUGUAAUACUGUUACAUAAAACUUAAGUUUGUUCUAGCAAAGAUGGUAGCUGUUCCAGUGAAGAUGAAACCAGAUCAUUCUCAAAUUUCUCUUUUUAAUACUGGACAGGAAGGUGUAGAGAGACAUGGGAAUAAAAGAAGUGUGAGCAGAACUAAGAUCCAACUUAGAGUAUCAGAAAAGGCACAUGAAAACAGAACCAGUGUGCAUAGUGAAUGCUGGAAACAAAAUGAGACACAGGAAGUCUGGGGAUAGAAUGAAAUGAGCUGAGGGAAACAUAGGCUGCCACAGCAAGAACUGAGUGCCCAUACAGAAAACCCAUUGUUUUCUGUGCCACAGGUAUAUGAUAUAUUGUUCAUGUGCAGAGACUUCCUUAUAUAUUCUGGAGAUCCCUGUACAUGCUCAGAUCAACUAUAUUUUGGAGUUUUUUGUGCACUGGCAACUGGUUGCCUGACUACUUUGAAAUUUAUAAUGGCAGCUUUUGAGAUGUCAGUAGGAGAUAGCAUUUGCAAAACAAGCACUACAGAUAGAGAAGGGGAACAGGAGGAGAACUGGGAUGGAUGAAACAGAAUGCAAGAGAGAAGAUAUGGAAAAAAAAAAUCAGGAAAUUAGGAAGUAAGUAGAUGUAGUGCUUUAUCUGUGAGUCCAGGCCAAAGGCUUUUACUGUUUUGUAAUCUUAACAACACUAACUAUGCAGGGGAGAUAGGUAGAAUUGAGAUGUUAUUUUUUUACUGACUCAGCUAGUUGCCUUACCCUUCUGCAGAAAGUUGUUACACCCCGAGGGAGAGGAGACAGAACCAUACCUAUUUCCCUGUAUAGUGUGACAAGUAGCUUUAACCACCAGUGAGGACAUAGAGGCAGGCAGCCAUGUGUGUAUUUAUAUGGUGGUGUUAGAAUUGGAAGACUCCAUCCAAGUGAGAGAGAAAAAAGGGUGGCAUAAGACCAGAAGAAUAUAGAUGACAGCUCCUAUCUACUCAUUGAAAGAAAUGCUUCCUCUUAGGUAACAGUGAUAAAUUUUACAUAGCUACAUGUGCAUUUAAGGUUGAAUAAGACAAUUGAUUAAAAUUAUAUGGAACCUAUAGACUUUUUCUGACACUGAAAAUAGCAAAGUGCAUCUUCAAAUGAGGUUAAUAAUUUCUACAGUUGUAAGGAUAAAAAAAAAGAAGACGCCACUCAUAAAUUCCAAGCGAUUUAAGUAUGGAAUUCCUCACCAAUUUCUUUUUGUGUAGCUGCUUGCUUUGCCAGAUUGCUGAUUGAUCAACUAAACUAUUCUCUAAGUCAAGCACAGCAUUUUUCAAGUUCUGUUUCAUCACAGUAUAAAAUAAUUAGAGCUAUAAACAAAAAAGAAGCAGGAAUGCCACAGUCCCCCACAUAUCUAUUAGUUGUCAUCUGUGGAGUCUAACUGUUACACAGAAGCAUGUUAAAAUUAAAUGGUGAGAUUUAUUUAACAUACUUAUUUGUUCUUUCUUUACUUUACCAUUCUUCAUUUCAAAUCUCUUUUCUUCACAACAUGGCAUAUUCCUGGCCAUGCAGAUACUUAUACUCCCAGUAAAUUACUGCACAAUUAUACUUACUUUAUAAAAACAAACAAAAAUUCAGUUGGAAUUCAGUUGGAGCUUCUGUAGCCACUACAUGCAUGGCUUUAGAAUUAGUUAAGUAUUUUGCAGGACAGAUAGUAAUUUAUAUCAGUUUAUAGACCAUACAGAAUUUAGGAUAAAUGUCUAGUAGAAAUUAAAACAAAAAAAAAAAAAAAAGAGGAGGUAACUAUGUACUUGAAAUUCUAUAUUGGUGUGAUUUAAUCUCUUAAUCUCAUUAGCUUCAUUCAAUAUUUUGUUUUGAAAUAUUAAUUUACCUUUUUUAUAAUUCAUCAAAACAGUUUAUUUUGCCCACCAAUAGGCUCUCCAUAGAAACAGUUGUAUCUUAGUAACAUACCAAGAAUACAGAUCACGGAAUGCACUGCAUUUGUAUAUACUGCCCUUAAAGACCCAUUUCUAGUUGUUAUAAGGGAAGGAGAGAGUUUCCUUUCUGCAAUUGUAGCAAACACAGCACUUCAAUACAACAAUUCGGUGCUUCCUAGGUUGAUCUCCUUACACAUGAGAUACAGGUAAUUUCUGCCUCUUAUGCCUUGCCCUUCAUAGGAUCAUGUCAGCAAAGAUGUCAGACACCUGUCCUUUAUAGCUGGGGCUUUAUUUUUUUGGUUUUGUUUUAAUUGGAUGCUAGUUGAUGAAGUGUGUGAAUAAUUCUUGCUUUUGACCCUUGUCAGCUAAAUUCAAAACUGUUUCUACUACUGCUCCUGUUUGUUUGGAUUUUUUUUUUCUGUAGCAGGUCCUACUACAUAGAAAAAUUUUGAAAAUUGUUUUGCUGGUAUCACCUUGUGUGGAUCUGUAGCUGCUCUGUAUGGCACUCCUUUUCUACACUCCAGAUGACUCUAGCUUUACCAGCUCUCUUCUCAUUGUGUUGACUCUCUCCUUUCUGCUCUUCCAUGCUUGCUGUAGGGCGGCUGUUUGUCCUCUGGCACCUUUGUUCUCUCUGUCCCUCACAAAGCUGAAGUGAUCCAAGGGAAUGGUUACGAUGACAUUUGAGCUUCUCUGCAGCAAUGUGUUGAUAUUUACACUUAGCUGAUUAUUGGCAAGUGGAGCACAUGACUAUAUUGUAAAAUCUGCUUAGUUUAACCGGCACUUCAGGGGAAAAGAAGCGGGAAGUAGAGUGAUGCAGGGUCUAUGUGUCGCUCCUUACACAGUUGGUGGGGGCUGUGCCAUUACUUUGUCUGGGUGGUAAGGGAUGAAGUGUGCUUUUCAGCUGACUCUCACACUGCUUUGUAGUUUUUAUUUGCAGCAUAUUCCCUAGCUUGACUGGUACUGUUCUCUGCUUCAAAAUAAACCAGGCCAUUUAAUGCUAGGGUAGAGAGGAGGGUGUCCUAACCCCAGCCCUCCUCACCUUAAAAGAAGCUUUUAAGAUGUCAAGCAAAGAACAUCCCAUCCCAGGUUUUGAUUAAGGAAAAGAGUAGUUACCAGCUUUGGUCUCAGGCACAGACUAAAUGAGGGAAUGAAGGCAGAGGCAUGAUACCUCUUGUCUCAGCACACAGUUAUUAAAAGAACAUGUCUGGAGGAAAAAAAGAGGCCCAGGAACCCAGAGAAACCAGACAGAUUUAACAAGAAUUUCUCUUACCCUCUGUGUGGGGAGGCAGAGGGAAAGCAUCUUGCUGAAACAUGGUUUCAGAAAUUUUAUAUUGGUGUGGUUAAUCUAAAUUUGCAGCAGUAGCAAGUGAGCUAUUUCAGAAUACAAAAUGGGGACACUGGGAGGGGUCUUUUUUUUGUUUCGUUUCAAGGAAAUGUUAGGGUACUGUGAACUGCCAGUUACUUUCUAGGAGGCUGAAGUAUAGAAAAGAAGCAGCAGAGCUUUGGAAGUAAUGGGGCUUUGACACCCCUCUCUACCAAUCUGUAUAUGCUCACCUAACUCUAGAGAUACUCUUUUUCUCACUUCUUUUUGGCUAUGGUAUCUUCAUGCUCAUGUCUCAGUCAGCUGUUGGUCCUCAUUCUACAGCUUGCAUAAUUUUUGCAGCCACAGGUCACUUCCUGCAUCUUCCACGUGGGUGGAAAUGGGGCAGGCCAGGGACCUUUUCCAAGAUGAGAAUGGGUGGGAAAAAGAAUAUAGAGAAUAGAAUAGAAGAGCAAGAAUGUUGAUAUUUUUGUAUUGAUUGAUAUUCUUGUAUUGAUACCUUGUAUUGAUUUCAAUAUCACCUGCAGUGAUAUUGAAAGGUGGUCUGUUAUGGAGGGAAGAGAUUCAGCCUAAAGCAGCUGAUCUUCUCUCCUAGGCCCUAGCAGAACCUGCAGAUUGCUCCCUCAUUAGCUGUCAAAGAAGGCUGUGUCCACAGUAGCAGUUAAUUUCAAAGCAACAGCGUGCUUUGGGGUAAAAUCUUGUCAUUAUCUCCACUUAGCAUGUGUUGUUUCAGUUCCCAAAGUGGUUUUGGUGCAUACAAACCAAAUUCCUUCAGGAGGAAAUGAAAACAGAAGCUCUGUUUCCAAUCUGCUCCACAUGCACCCUAGUGCUAAUGGGGACAAGAAGUUCCAAAAUAACAUGUAAGCUGCAUCAUCACAAGGUCUUCUAGCACAUACCUAACACUUCUUCUCAGAAAGCUUUAAAACACAUGUAUAGCGGAGGUGUUUGGCUCCAGUGACCAGGCUAAAUAUAAUCUAGAAUAAACCCCCAAAACGCAUAUAAUGGAAAAAUGAGGUGUCUUAGUAUCAACUAUUUCAUUCUACCAAUCCAGUCCUUAUGUGCUGAAUUAAUUUCUUCUGAAAAUACUGCUUACUUUUUCUAUACCUUAAGCUGGCUUUGGGAAAUGCCAAAUUUAACCUAAAUAUGUACCUAGAAUGUUUCUCGUAUCUGGCAAUGGGGUGCCCACACAAUUAUAUAUGUUAGCCCUUUAAUCACUAAAGACAGCUCUCUAACCACUAUUAAAGAGCUAAUGUUGGUCAUCUUAACUUGAAUGAAAGACAUAAAGCAAAACCUGCCAGCAAUCACAAUAGUAGGUAUGCUGGUACUGUAGCUAAGGAUAUAGGGAGAGUUGUGGAAUUGUAUCCCAGGGUGGGUAAAGGCACAUAGGCUGAAAACUGCACUCAGUAAGAUGCCUACUCACCAAAACAAAAAAAGGCAGACAUAGCUGAGUGAAUAACAGUGACAAUGUCAUUCUCUCCUGAAUGGAAACUACUAUGUGCCUGCUAUGAGGGUAGAAGAAACCAGUGUUUAAGCCAGAAUGAUGAAAGAUGUAACAGUCUACAUUUACCAAUAUAAUUACAAAAUUAUAUAAAUUCUUAACUGUUGUAUUGUCUUCCCCCCCUCCCCCCGCCCCCCUCCCCCCCACUUUUCCUAUGAUUUCCAUUUAUUUAUGAGCUUCUUUAUUUGCAUAGCUCAGUGGCAGCACUGAUGUAAGCGUCUGCAAGUACCCGGUGCUCUGUGCUGCUAUUGUCACUUACAGUCAAGAUUUAGUUACAGCUGCUCCCAGAAGCCAUAAUGUGCCCUCAUCCCUCCCAUAUCCUACUGUGAAUUGAAAACAUGUUCUAACAACAUCUUAUGAAACGACAUGCAAAAUUAUGGAGAUAAGCUUUUCAGAUGGAAAAUUUUAGUGUUCUUUAAGAAUCUGUAAUUUGUACAGUUUAAUCUUUAUUUUUUUUGCCAUGUCAGAUAAACCUAGACAUUCUGCUCUCAGAUGAUAGCAUGUUUGGAGAUAUGAGAGAAACAGGGAGCUGCUGGAACAUAUUGCAGAAGCCUAAAGCACUUAGCAACAGAGAAAGUGUGGGCUGCAACGACAGAAGCCAGAAUGUGGAAACAAGUGACAUCGAGGCGGCUGUUUGGGAAAGAAGAGCUUUUACUUUGUUUAUAAUUUCAGUAAUUCUAAAGAACUUGGCAGUGUGGGAGGUCACUGCAGUCUCUGACUCUGCAGAUAUCCUUUUCUGUGUGCCUGUUUUUCAAAUGCCUAUGAUAAUUAUUACCAAGAGUGCUGGAUGUUCUAAUUUCCUUUUGUAUGCUUUUGUAUUUCCCGUUUCUCAAAAACUAGAGAAGUAAAAUUAAUGUAUUUGUUUUGCAUCAGUUUAUUCUAUUCAUACUCAUGUGGCAGGCACUGUGAAUAGUUUUUUAAAUGAUAAUGAUAAUGUCUUCUGGAGUGAUGCAAUCAUUUACCAUGAUGCUUUUUAGCGCUUUGCACUAGAACAUCCUGAUAGUGUGCACUAAUGGUAGUGUGGAUUUCAAAUAACUGCUAAAGAAAAGAUGCCUGAAGUGUUGAACAGGGUAAAUUGAGUUGAGAUAAAAUAAAAAUUUUUCUGACAUGAGAGUGACUUUUACAAGGGCAUUCAGAAAUCAGUGCAUUUCUAAGUUCUGCAGGUACUACUGAGGUAGAAAUUAUCUGGAGAACUUCACUCACCACUUACUGGGGAUUGUUUUACCUAAUGCAUAUGCACCUGUAAAUGCCAAAAUCUUCUUUCCUCUGAAAACUUAUUGUGCACAUUAAGUGCAGGGGCUGCACAGCUCUAGGGUUGAAAAAAAAGGCCUUAGGCAACACAGGACACUUCAAGGAACUUGGAAACCUUACCAUAAUUAUUGCAUUUGUAUUUAAUGAAGGUUGAACUAGCCAUUAGCUUGUAUUUUCUUUUUUCUCUUUAUAAAUAUCUCUUGUGGUUUGCAUUAUUCAGUAAUCUAAUUGUGUCUACUUUUGAGGUAUUACCACUUGAAAAUAACAGUCAAAGUAAAUGAUAGAGAUGUACCAAAUUAUUAUAAUAGAGGUGCUACAGGAAUUCAUAGAACAGAAAAAAACACAAGGAGCAAAUUUAUAUAAUAAUGAUGCCUGAGGAACUAUUAGUAUUGAAGUCUAACAAAUUUAUCUACUCACUGAAUACUACAGUGUUGAAUAGCUUCAGGCUACUGUUGAUAUUUUUUAACUCCACAGGUGACCUGCCAUUGGGUAACUGGCCUUUUAACGGGAAUUGGAUUCAGCCUAACUACUGAUAUCAUUUUGGAAGUAAACUACUGUUUACUUCCAAAAUGCUAUAGUAAUUUCACUUAUUAAAAUGCAGUAAUCACCUCACAUUAAAUGGCAAAUUAAAAAAAAAUAGAAAAGUAAAAUAAAA
This is a non-coding RNA of Taeniopygia guttata (zebra finch), 11517 nucleotides long. NCBI's taxonomy places the organism in Eukaryota, Metazoa, Chordata, Aves, Passeriformes, Estrildidae. The record is from RefSeq and is a predicted model, not a curated record.